CUGGUUGAUCCUGCCAGUAGUCAUAUGCUUGUCUCAAAGACUAAGCCAUGCAUGUCUAAGUACACAUCAUAUUACGAUGAAACCGCGAAUGGCUCAUUAAAUCAGCUAUGGUUCCUUGGAUCGUGUAUCUAACAUGGAUAACUGUGGGAAUUCUAGAGCUAAUACAUGCAUCAAAGCCAUGACCGUAAGGAAAUGGCGCAUUUAUUAGAUCAAAACCAAUCAGGUCUCGGCCUGUAUUGUUUGAUGACUCUGGAUAAACUUCAGCAGAUCGCAUGGCCUUGAGCCGGCGACGUAUCCUUCAAGUGUCUGCCCUAUCAACUUACGUUGGUAGGUUACCUGCCUACCAUGGUGAUCACGGGUAACGGGGAAUCAGGGUUCGAUUCCGGAGAGGGAGCAUGAGAAACGGCUACCAGAACUACGGUUUGCAGCAGGCGCGCAAAUUACCCACUCCCAGUACGGGGAGGUAGUGACGAAAAAUAACAAUACGGGUCUUUUUAUAGGCCCCGUAAUUGGAAUGAGUACACCUUAAAACCAUUAACGAGUACCAAUUGGAGGGCAAGUCUGGUA
RNAcentral lists this ribosomal RNA (567 nucleotides) under uncultured eukaryote. RNAcentral describes it as "SSU rRNA". It matches the Rfam family "Eukaryotic small subunit ribosomal RNA", at positions 4 to 566 of the family's 1831-position model. The record is from RNAcentral.